Molecule: non-coding RNA, 71 nt
Organism: Pangasianodon gigas (Mekong giant catfish)
Lineage: Eukaryota; Metazoa; Chordata; Actinopteri; Siluriformes; Pangasiidae
Source: the annotation of a GenBank genome assembly
UCUCUGGAGGACUAGUGGUUAGGUCUCUGCGCUCUCACCAUGCGGCUCGGGUUCGAUUCCCAGCCAGGGAA